Molecule: ribosomal RNA, 451 nt
Filed under: uncultured bacterium
Lineage: Bacteria
Description: bacterial SSU rRNA
Rfam family: Bacterial small subunit ribosomal RNA
Source: RNAcentral
CAGCAGUAGGGAAUAUUGGUCAAUGGGCGAAAGCCUGAACCAGCCAUGCCGCGUGUCAGAUGAAGGUCCUCUGGAUUGUAAAUGACUUUUCUACGGGAAGAAUGAGCCGUCUGCGGACGGAAGUUGACGGUACCCGUAGGAAUAAGCACCGGCUAACUACGUGCCAGCAGCCGCGGUAAUACGUAGGGUGCAAGCGUUGUCCGGAUUUACUGGGUUUAAAGGGUACGUAGGCGGUUGUGCCAAGUCUGGGGUGAAAGUUUGCAGCUCAACUGUAAAAAUUGCCUUGGAUACUGGUCGGCUAGAGUAGUGGAGCGGUGGCUGGAAUUUAUAGUGUAGCGGUGAAAUGCUUAGAUACUAUGAGGAACACCAAUUGCGAAGGCAGGUCACUGGUCACUAACUGACGCUGAGGUACGAAAGUGUGGGGAUCAAACAGGAUUAGAUACCCUGGUAG